GGCUGGUCCGAAGGUAGUGAGUUACCUCAAUUGACUGUUCACAGUCAGUACAGAUUGAACUCCUUGUUCUACUCUUUCCCCCCUUCUCACUACCACACUUAACUAGUCUUAA
Unclassified non-coding RNA from Cavia porcellus (domestic guinea pig), 112 nucleotides. It matches the Rfam family "Y RNA". From Rfam's summary of the family: Y RNAs are components of the Ro ribonucleoprotein particle (Ro RNP), in association with Ro60 and La proteins. The Y RNAs and Ro60 and La proteins are well conserved, but the function of the Ro RNP is not known. The record is from Ensembl. NCBI's taxonomy places the organism in Eukaryota, Metazoa, Chordata, Mammalia, Rodentia, Caviidae.